UUACUGGGCGUAAAGCGCAUGCAGGUGGUUUGUUAAGUCAGAUGUGAAAGCCCGGGGCUCAACCUCGGAACUGCAUUUGAAACUGGCAGACUAGAGUACUGUAGAGGGGGUAGAAUUUCAGGUGUAGCGGUGAAAUGCGUAGAGAUCUGAAGGAAUACCGGUGGCGAAGGCGGCCCCCUGGACAGAUACUGACACUCAGAUGCGAAAGCGUGGGGAGCAAACAGGAUUAGAUACCCUGGUAG
Molecule: ribosomal RNA, 242 nt
Filed under: uncultured bacterium
Lineage: Bacteria
Description: partial 16S ribosomal RNA
Rfam family: Bacterial small subunit ribosomal RNA
Source: RNAcentral